GAUGGGUUUUCUGUAUCAUAUCCGCUGAUGUAUGCAUUGUCAGAUUUUGCACCGAAAAUGAGUAAUUUUCCCGUAGUGGCAAUAUAUAAGCCUCUUGAUCGAUGCAUGAUUCGGUGUUCGGAAGUUCUUCAGCAUCCACAAACGCAUCUCUCUCGUUAUCUUCAUCACCCUCGUCAUCAGAGAUCUAUAAAAAAAAUAAGACAUUUUUUCAUAACAUUUUCUACUGGUUGAUAGAAAACUUAAUAUAAUAAGUAAAACGUAUUUCUUAUGCAAAGACUUGCUUUACAGAUACCAACAACACCAGAAG
Molecule: long non-coding RNA, 307 nt
Filed under: Androctonus crassicauda
Lineage: Eukaryota; Metazoa; Arthropoda; Arachnida; Scorpiones; Buthidae
Source: RNAcentral